UCAUAAACACGACCUCCCAUCCUACCCCUCUUCUCAUAAACACGACCUCCCCAUCCCCACCCUCCUCUCAUAAACACGAACUCUGAUCCCCCCCCCUUUUUUCUCAUAAACACGACCUCCGAUCCCCACCUCUCAUAAACACGACCUUCCCACCUCUCAUAAAAACAUUACACACAAACGGGAAGCUUUGAUAACCAUCACACGCGCAUUCUCGCUAGACUCCCGCGUCAGCCCGAAAUACCAAGAGCGUGUGGUCACAACGAGCGAAGAAAUACACUUCAUCCGGAAGUUUCCUGAAUCUUUGAAGUUCGUGCUUGUUCGAGAAAUUGAUUCUAGCUUUCGUGCAAGAACCUGGCUCGGUAUCCUUUAUACGUCCAAGGUUUCCAACAACUCUGAUUUCUUGGGAUCCCUGUAGUAGCGGUGAUUCAUACAUGAAGUAUUCCUGCCUAGGGUCGGCGGUUCCGCGCCAGUGGUAUGUACGUCAUUUGUGAAAUCAUCACACGAAACAGUCGAGGUCAAAUUUGCAUAGCUAUUGUUUUGGCGGCGCAGUUAUCAACCGAAACUGGUUGUGAACGAUUCAGUUGAAGUCACAUCACUCGAGCGUGGGGGCUAUUUCGUACUCACAUUAUUCAAUAUUGAGCAGGUCACCUGAUAGAGGCAUUCGCAGCUUCCCUCCGCGACUCACGGAUUUUAUACUUUGUUUAUAACGUAAAUCACCACCAGUCU
Molecule: long non-coding RNA, 726 nt
Organism: Nematostella vectensis (starlet sea anemone)
Lineage: Eukaryota; Metazoa; Cnidaria; Anthozoa; Actiniaria; Edwardsiidae
Exons: 2
Source: RefSeq, a predicted model, not a curated record